Molecule: unclassified non-coding RNA, 300 nt
Filed under: uncultured fungus
Lineage: Eukaryota; Fungi
Description: partial contains 5.8S ribosomal RNA, internal transcribed spacer 2, and large subunit ribosomal RNA
Source: RNAcentral
AACGCACCUUGCGCUCCCUGGUAUUCCGAGGAGCAUGCCUGUUUGAGUGUCUUGAAGUCAUCAACCCCUCCCGUUCUGUGCGGGAGCUGGGUUGGAGCUGGGGCCUGCGUCCGCAAGGUCGCUCCCCCCAAACGCUUCGGUUGGGCCGUGGGCCGGACUCGGUUGGGCGUUGUACCAUCCUCGCUCGCACCCGAGAAGUCCCCCGCAAAUAGUUGCCUGCCGUGGGCCGCCACACAGGGGCGGCCAAAACACACUCUGUGAUCUGACCUCAAAUCAGGUAGGACUACCCGCUGAACUUAA